UGUUCAGGAAGAAACCUAGCGA
This 22-nucleotide non-coding RNA is filed under the name Arabidopsis thaliana (thale cress). The record is from RNAcentral. Lineage: Eukaryota; Viridiplantae; Streptophyta; Magnoliopsida; Brassicales; Brassicaceae.